CAAGGAAUCCAGGGCUACUCGGGAUUAAGUGACUUGCCCAAGGCCAUGAGGUCACAGUGAUGCAGUCCAGCACUCUUCCUAUGGCACCCCAGUGUCUCUCAAUAUGGCUGUGCUGUCCGCACAGACGGGCUGAUCCCACCACCCUCCCCAGUUUCUAUCCCUGCUUCUAAAACCUGCAACUUGUCCUGUAAGCCAUCUUAGCACCUGCCUCUGGCUUCUAAGCAAACUUCAGGGCUAGGCUGUCCAUCCCAUCAUAGAUCCUUCUGUCAGUUAAAUCCUAAGUCAUUAAACAAGCAUUUUCCCCUGAGCCUAUAUGUGGUUAUAGCAACUUAAGUAAAAAAUACAUUUGUUCAUGGUGGAAAAGUGGUAUAACCAUAAGACAUAUGUAAUUUGUUGGGAAACAGCCUCUCUAUUCUUACUUUCAAAUGUCACAGUGAAUACUUGAAACUAAACUAUGCCGCUGGAAAGCUGGAGUUAAGAAUUUACUUGGAAACCUUAAACAUGGGUAAUUUUGGUUAGUAGCCAUUCUGUGACUUUGCUUAGACAUGACAGGUUAAGGGCUGUAGGGCCCAAGGCAGAGUUGACAGACACAAGCCCUCUCUCACCUCCUCAUCUGCAUAGGAAGGAUAAAUCCCUGUCCUGUAGGCUCCCAAUGGUCCUGCCCACAGGGUAAUUGCAGAGAAGAUAUUCUCUGAUGAGAUCAACCCAUGCAAGGCAGAACUACCAAUAUCUGUACUGCCAGAGAGACUCCCCUUAUUCCACAGUGAAUCUGAGCAGUACUAGACUCUCUCUUUACCUCUGACCAAAUACAGAUUGCAGUUCAAUUUGGAUCUGGAAAAACUGGUGGUGUAGUGGAAAGAACAAGUCUGUGGAGAUCCUGAGUUUCAACCCUGGUUAAUAAAUUCUACUAAACAUAUUUGGUUAGUGAUCUCGGGCAAAUUACUUAACUUCUUUGGGUCUCAGUCUCCACAUUAAUGCUGCUGCAGCGAGGGGCGAUGAUUCUGAAGCUUCAUAUCUUCAGAACGGUAGAUGCUAAGCACUGAAUGGUGCCUUUCAUGAACAUGGCUUUACCUUGGCUUCAAAACAACCCUAUGAGUCCCCAGGUGUGGUUUCGAGAAGAGGCUUCAGGAAGGGAAAGCUGACCAGGGAGAUGGUUUCUGAAAGGAUGUGUCUUUCUGGACCAGAGGAAACAAGCCACAAGCUGGGUGGAAGACAAGCCAUACGCCUGCUGUAGAAAUAUUCCUGCUCCAUGUUUCCUUUUUGCCCUCUGGACUGAGUCCUUUUGACGAAAGAACACUCAGAACCUGCUGAGCUUUGGGCUGGCACUGGGAUUCACUCACUCUCAGACAAAGCCUCGGAUGCACAGCAGUGGUUCCGGUUGGGUCUUCACCUCCUCUCCUCUGGAACAGCGUGUGCAUCAAAACAGUGAGAGCCCACAGCGCCUCCUUGUGGACUAUCUGAUAAACUGGAACCAGUUCUCGCAGGGCUGAAGGACGGUGGUCACCUAGAGGCAUUGCCCAGGAUCUGCACUGCGCUGUCCACCCAGGAAUUACUCUGUUUUCUUCUACUUUUAAAUAAAUUUGGGAGAUGGGCUGGGUGUGGUGGCUCACACCUGUAAUUUCAGCGUUUUGGAAGACCGAGGCGGGAGGACGGCGUGGGACCAGGAGUUCAUGACUGGCCUGGGCAACACAGUGAGACCCUGUCUCUAUUUUAAACAACGACAACAACAUAUUUAAAAAAUAAAAAUAAGAAAAUAAAUUUGGAAGAUGAACACAUUCUAUUUUAAUUCUGUUAGUGAUCAGUAAAACUGGCUUAAAAGCUGAGUUUCCUUUGGUUCCCUUUUGUUUUAUAAAAAAUGUCUGUGUGUACCUUUGUCAACAGCCUGAAUCCUAUGAAUCACAGGUUCCCCUGGGGAAGAUGGGGGUUUGAGUUUGGUUUCUUACUUGUGUUUAUAGGGUUCUGGGCAACUUGGGAGGGCGAGACACUAUGCCCUCAUGGGAUAACACUAAUU
RNAcentral lists this long non-coding RNA (2011 nucleotides) under Homo sapiens (human). RNAcentral describes it as "HSALNT0153857". Lineage: Eukaryota; Metazoa; Chordata; Mammalia; Primates; Hominidae. The record is from RNAcentral.